Long non-coding RNA from Brienomyrus brachyistius, 1009 nucleotides. RefSeq lists it as uncharacterized. Lineage: Eukaryota; Metazoa; Chordata; Actinopteri; Osteoglossiformes; Mormyridae. The record is from RefSeq and is a predicted model, not a curated record. The transcript is spliced from 3 exons.
UGGGAAAAGUGCUGGGUUAGAAGGUGGUUUGGUAAACGUUUGAGAAGAAACAUUUUAAGACAGAAAAGUAAAGGAUGAGAACCAGACAAAAAACAUGUGAUACUUCUACAACUAUUGUUAGUAAAAUGUCAUUUUUUCGCAGAUCCUCAGCCCUUCUCUUUGAUUUGUUCUUUAAAUCAGAGACAGAUGCGAUGUAUGGAUCACGGACGUGAGCAGUUGUUCACAGUCAUUUUUGGUGAAAGUUCUCUAACUGCUGAGAGAAAAUCUGCCUGGAUACAGAAGACAGCCAAUCAGGAGCUGACAGGGGCCACAAACAAGAACGCAUCGUCUACAGUGUCUGUUUGUCGUUGCGGGUGCAGCAGUGUAAGCAGGGAUGCCCAGACCUCCCUCUCACCAGCCACCUCCUCCAGCUCCACUGGGGAAAACCAAGGCGUUCCCAGGCCAGCCGAGAGAAGAGAUGAUGUCAGACACGCCGAAGAGCACAUGGCUCCACCCUCCAGCCAGCAGUCAAAACAGGCAGAGAGCAGCUGGGCCCACAAAACGCCAACGGCAGGCACAAAAAUCAGAGCCGAAACCGUGGCACUAGAACAACCGACGGCUGUACUUUCCACAGCUGACCUCAAGUUUCCCCAGCACUACAGCACUGAAAGGGAACUGGAGGAGAACUCAGAGGGGAAUUUUCUGAUCUUAUUCUAGGUUACCAGGGCUGUGGGUGACAACAACCACACACAGCAUAGGAGGGAAGAGAUGAAAGCCAGCAAUGCAAACAUGCAACUAAACAGAAAAGUAUGUACAUGGAAGCGCAACAAGCUACAGCACAACAAUCUAAACUAAUUCUCUGUAAUAUAAACACAGGUCGAGUGACAUCUGUCUGCUUUUUGGAGGACAAGAAAUCAUAUGCAAAUGCUAAAUGCAUUUAAGCCAUUCGGAUAUAUAAAUGCGAUAUAUAAAUGUGAUUUUUACUCAAAUGUAAACACCCUGAAUGACAGUGGAGAAACCGGGAAAGAAA